GACAAAUGUGAUCCCAAAGGCAGUGUGGCGCAACAUGCAGGACCACUCAGAGGGCUGGCCAAUGAAAAACACAAGAGAGGCACAGGACAAAUAUGAUCCCAAAGGCAGUGUGGCGUAACAUACAGGACCACUCAGAGGGCUGGCCAAUGAAAAACACAAGAGAGGCACAGGACAAAUGUGAU
Acipenser ruthenus (sterlet) is the source of this 182-nucleotide long non-coding RNA. RefSeq lists it as uncharacterized. The record is from RefSeq and is a predicted model, not a curated record. Lineage: Eukaryota; Metazoa; Chordata; Actinopteri; Acipenseriformes; Acipenseridae. The transcript is spliced from 3 exons.